This is a long non-coding RNA of Aedes aegypti (yellow fever mosquito), 746 nucleotides long. RefSeq lists it as uncharacterized. The record is from RefSeq and is a predicted model, not a curated record. NCBI's taxonomy places the organism in Eukaryota, Metazoa, Arthropoda, Insecta, Diptera, Culicidae. The transcript is spliced from 3 exons.
ACUAAUGUUGGAGUAAAUACAACCGCUGCAUAGUUCUUAAAAUUACUAUUCAGGAUUAUGUUAAAAUUUAACGUGCUUGUCUUUACAAGUACUGCAAUAUUGUUAAAAUUACUAUGCCAUCGAUCGAUAAAUUUUACUAUCAUGAGAAGUCAAGAGCACUCUUGCCCUGCAUUGAAGAUAAAUACAAGAUCGGUAAUUUUUAAUGAACAAUGUUGUCAUUUUUACUAUGUGCAUGGUAAUUUUAACAACAAAACGUAGUGAUAAUGACCCCACCAACUUGGCUGUUUUUCUCCGUCAACUUGUGAAGGAUUAACAUAAGCGCGGAUAUAAAAGACUUUUGUUUUGUGUUUUGGACGUAAUAUUAAGCAAUGUUUUUAUAGUAACUAUUCUACCCAUGCUGAUAUUAAUCCAGAACUUUUAGAAUUGAUUGCAUCGUGCAAUUUCCAGACCCUAAUAAGUGAUCCAAAAUAUAAUUUAGGACUACUUCAUUCUACUUUUAUUGAAAAUUUGAGCGAUGGUGAGCAGAUUCUGCAUGUGCCGCCAUGUUCCAUCAGAGAUCAAUGAAGGCAAAUACGGGCAUAAAGUUCUCUGCAGGACUCCACUACGAUCGCCGUUUUUGAAAUCCAAAAAUCCUGUUUUUAAUGGACUAGAAAACACAUUACAUUAUCAGAGAAUUUAUUCUUCAAUAAAUAAUUACGAUUGAUGGAAUUGGAUAGUAGUUUUUUUGAUGGGUUGGAAUAAAUAUA